Molecule: transfer RNA, 66 nt
Filed under: Metaperipatus inae
Lineage: Eukaryota; Metazoa; Onychophora; Udeonychophora; Euonychophora; Peripatopsidae
Description: tRNA-Ala
Source: RNAcentral
AUUCUUAUAUUUAAAUUAUAAAAUUUAAAUUGCAAUUAAAAAUUAUUGGGGAUCCAAUUAAUUAAU